UCCCUGGUGGUCUAGUGGUUAAGACUCUGCCCUACCACUGCAGGGGACAUAGGUUCAAUCCCUGGUCAGGGAA
Molecule: non-coding RNA, 73 nt
Organism: Bos taurus (domestic cattle)
Lineage: Eukaryota; Metazoa; Chordata; Mammalia; Artiodactyla; Bovidae
Source: Rfam